RNAcentral lists this ribosomal RNA (253 nucleotides) under uncultured bacterium. Its description in RNAcentral is "partial 16S ribosomal RNA". It matches the Rfam family "Bacterial small subunit ribosomal RNA", at positions 524 to 776 of the family's 1533-position model. The record is from RNAcentral.
UACAGAGGUCUCGAGCGUUGUUCGGAUUCAUUGGGCGUAAAGGGCGCGUAGGCGGCGGGGUAAGUCUGGUGUGAAAUCUAGGAGCUCAACUCCUAAACUGCACUGGAUACUGCUCUGCUAGAGGACUGGAGAGGAGACUGGAAUUCACGGUGUAGCAGUGAAAUGCGUAGAUAUCGUGAGGAAGACCAGUGGCGAAGGCGGGUCUCUGGACAGUUCCUGACGCUGAGGCACGAAGGCCAGGGGAGCAAACGGG